RNAcentral lists this ribosomal RNA (490 nucleotides) under uncultured bacterium. RNAcentral's name for it is "bacterial SSU rRNA". It matches the Rfam family "Bacterial small subunit ribosomal RNA", at positions 28 to 506 of the family's 1533-position model. The record is from RNAcentral.
GAUGAACGCUGGCGACAGGCUUAACACAUGCAAGUCGAGGGGCAGCGGGGGGUUAGCAAUACCCGCCGGCGACCGGCGCACGGGUGAGUAACGCGUAUGCAACUUACCUAUCAGAGGGGGAUAACCCGGCGAAAGUCGGACUAAUACCGCAUGAAGCAGGGAUCCCGCAUGGGAAUAUUUGCUAAAGAUUCAUCGCUGGUAGAUAGGCAUGCGUUCCAUUAGGCAGUUGGCGGGGUAACGGCCCACCAAACCGACGAUGGAUAGGGGUUCUGAGAGGAAGGUCCCCCACAUUGGUACUGAGACACGGACCAAACUCCUACGGGAGGCAGCAGUGAGGAAUAUUGGUCAAUGGCCGAGAGGCUGAACCAGCCAAGUCGCGUGAGGGAUGAAGGUUCUAAUGGAUCGUAAACCUCUUUAAUAAGGGAAUAAAGUAGCGGGAACGUGUCCCGUUUUGUAUAGUACCUUAUGAAUAAGGAUCGGCUAACUCCGU